GUUGGUUGUUGAUUGAAGUUGUUUGAAGCGAAGAUUUGGCCUUGGUUUUGGUUCGUUCGGUGGCUCUGCACAAAAGUCGAUUUGGCUAGGGUUCGUGUAACUCUCUGAUGAUGGAGCUCAUGCGAUUAAACUGAUGGCGUUAUAGCUCUUCAAUUUGCUAAAAUUGUCCGACGGGUCUCUUCUUCUCCGGUAUCCUGUUUCCGGUGUGUCAGGUGGAUCUACGGGGAGUUGUUCCGGCGACGAUUUUCAUGUCGUGAAGUUCGGUGGCGUUUCAGUUAUCGGGCACAUGUCUAUCCAACGCUAACAGGGUAACGCGUGGAUGUGUCCG
This 328-nucleotide long non-coding RNA is filed under the name Brassica napus (rape). RNAcentral's name for it is "long non-coding RNA (BNAP_LNC024449)". Lineage: Eukaryota; Viridiplantae; Streptophyta; Magnoliopsida; Brassicales; Brassicaceae. The record is from RNAcentral.